Molecule: long non-coding RNA, 505 nt
Organism: Lates calcarifer (barramundi perch)
Lineage: Eukaryota; Metazoa; Chordata; Actinopteri; Centropomidae
Exons: 3
Source: RefSeq, a predicted model, not a curated record
UAUGAUUUUAAAAAAAUCACUCUUGGUUUAUAUUAACCUGCAGCUCAUACUAACCUUACCUUACUGUUUUUUGUUAGUGAGACGUCUCCUUCAGCUCAGGACGGGACCUGGUUGACCCUCAGACCUCAUACAGAGCUCGCUGUAGCCACAGCGCUCUGCUUCACUGCUGCUGUGUGUCUCCUGGCUGCUCUCACAGUGUCUUACAGGAAGUGUCUCUCCUGCAGAGUCAGGGUCCACACGGUCCCAGAGGAUCACGAUUAAAUGACCAUGCUCUGGUGAGAAGGCUGGGUGUGAUCUGAGAGGGGAUAGCAUGAACUGCCAACAUGUUACAACCCCUCACUGAAGUUCCUCUGUGACAGAGAAGGAAAAGGACUGCGACACUAUACGGGGAUGGAGGUUUGUCUGGGAGCCACACCACUGGGACAGAUUUUAUAUGGUGAACUGUUCUGACAACAUUCAUGCUUUAGUUUCAGGCAGACAAAACAGAACUCCACACGGCAGCAAG